RNAcentral lists this ribosomal RNA (440 nucleotides) under uncultured bacterium. Its description in RNAcentral is "partial 16S ribosomal RNA". It matches the Rfam family "Bacterial small subunit ribosomal RNA", at positions 338 to 795 of the family's 1533-position model. The record is from RNAcentral.
CCUACGGGAGGCAGCAGUGGGGAAUAUUGGACAAUGGGGGGAACCCUGAUCCAGCGACGCCGCGUGAGUGAAGAAGUAUUUCGGUAUGUACAGCUCUAUCAGCAGGGAAGAAAAUGACGGUACCUGAGUAAGCCGCUCCGGCUAAAUACGUGCCAGCAGCCGCGGUAAUACGUAUGGCGCAAGCGUUAUCCGGAUUUACUGGGCGUAAGGGGAGCGUAGGCGGCCUGCCAAGUCUGCAGUGAAAUACCGGGGCUCAACCCCGGGGCGGCAUUGGACACUGGCAGGCGGGAGUGCCGGAGAGGCAGGCGGAAUUCCUAGUGUAGCGGUGAAAUGCGUAGAUAUUAGGAGGAAAACCAGUGGCGAAGGCGGCCUGCUGGACGGUGACUGACGCUGAGGCUCGAAAGCGUGGGGAGCAAACAGGAGUAGAUACCCCAGUAGUC